Molecule: ribosomal RNA, 492 nt
Filed under: uncultured bacterium
Lineage: Bacteria
Description: partial 16S ribosomal RNA
Rfam family: Bacterial small subunit ribosomal RNA
Source: RNAcentral
AGUGAACGCUGGCGGUAGGCCUAACACAUGCAAGUCGAACGGCAGCACAGUAAGAGCUUGCUCUUACGGGUGGCGAGUGGCGGACGGGUGAGGAAUACAUCGGAAUCUACUUUUUCGUGGGGGAUAACGUAGGGAAACUUACGCUAAUACCGCAUACGACCUACGGGUGAAAGCAGGGGAUCUUCGGACCUUGCGCGAUUGAAUGAGCCGAUGUCGGAUUAGCUAGUUGGCGGGGUAAAGGCCCACCAAGGCGACGAUCCGUAGCUGGUCUGAGAGGAUGAUCAGCCACACUGGAACUGAGACACGGUCCAGACUCCUACGGGAGGCAGCAGUGGGGAAUAUUGGACAAAGGGCGCAAGCCUGAUCCAGCCAUACCGCGUGGGUGAAGAAGGCCUUCGGGUUGUAAAGCCCUUUUGUUGGGAAAGAAAAGCAGCAGGUUGAUACCCCGCUGUUCUGACGGUACCCAAAGAAUAAGCACCGGCUAACUUCGUG